UCAGAGCAAUUUAGUAAGAACACAAAAUAAUGAAGCCAAAAGAUAUUAAUAAAAAAGAAGCACUAAAUGACAUUAUUUUAUUGACUUAUUUUGUCAUCCAUAUUAGAGACAAACUGUGUCAGCGAUCUCAAUAAUGGAACUUGAUGGAGACUCACGAAUACACAAAUACACUGCAUGAUAAUAAUUUCUGUAUUAGAAAAAUUAUAUUGCAAUAAAUUGGAAUUAUAAUUAUAAUUUCAAAAGAAAUGUAAUGCAAUUAAAUUAUAAACAUCUAAAUAAAUUAUAAUUUAAAAAAUAAUGUUAAAAGUAAUUAAUUGAAUGAAAAAGUUAAGAACAAUAUUGAGAAUAAGCAAAUUAUAUGUAAUCACUUUAUUUGUAUAAAAUAAUAAAUAUAUUACCUAAUUAAAUUACACAUUUAAAAUAUUUUAUAUUACGUUAACUAUUUUAAUUAACAUUUUUUUAGUAUUAAAAUAAUUAUAAUUUAAGAUAGAGACUGAAAGAGAACACCAACAGAUAAAACUAACCCAAAAAAAAUGGAGGAGUAAAAAAAAAUCCAAAUAGAUUAUAUUUGGAUUAUUUUUUACUAAAGCCUUAAAUUUAAUUAAAUUCGAUUAUAUUUUUAUUUCUCAGCUUUAAAAUAUUUAAAAAAAUGUCAUUCGCUAGGGUUGAAUUAAUAAAAAAUUAUAAUAUGGAUUAAUGUUCAAUUCGUAAUACGUUAUAUAGCAAAACAGAAUGGUCUGAUAUAUAUUAUUAUAAUAAUAAAAGAUAUAAAAACUUAAAAUCAUAUAUUGGAUAGAAGUUGGUGUAACAUCAAAAGUGAAGAUUUUGUUUCGUGUUUUUUUAACAGUAAUAAAUAAAUUAAAUAAAUAAAAACUUAUAAAAAUAUGAAUUAAAUUGAAAGAAAAAACAUACGAGAGCAUGUUAUUGUCAAAAUUAUAGACCAACAAAAUUAUAGACGUUAGGUUUUUACCAUUCAGUCAACCAUAAAUAUCUAUUAUUAUGGAACUUAAUUCAGUUUUAAUUCAGUUUUAGAAUUUAAUUAGUUAUGUGCAGUUUUGUUACUGUACUAGUGGAUAGUUAUAAAAUUAUUUAGGUUAUUCUAGCUAUAUAAUAGUAAACUAUUAUUCAAUAAAAGUGAGUACUUUCUCUCAUAUUAUCCACUCUUAAAAAAGGACGUCUUUGUUUUAUAACAUUUGGUAUCAGAUCUCCAUCAUGGGGCCUGAUUAAACCUAGAAGCAGCAAUCUUCUACGAGAGAAAAUAUGUCAGAAAGUUCAUUUGUGCAACCAACAGUUCCAAAAUUUGAUGGGCACUAUGAUCAUUGGGCAAUGCACAUGAAAACUUUUAUGCGCUCUAAAGAGUACUGGGGCGUGGUUGAAAAUGAGGUUCCUGCAACAGCAAAAGGUGUUGGCCUCACAUAUGCCCAGAGAAAACACAUUGACAAUCAGAAGUUGAAAGAUUCGAAAGCAAAGAACUAUCUAUUUCAAGCAUUAGAUCGUUUUAUCUUGGAGACGAUCAUUCAUAAGGAUACAUCAAAGAACAUAUGGGAUUCUUUGAAGCAAAAAUAUCAAGGUUCGUCUUGCGUUAAGCUUACAAGCUCUUCGAAAGAAGUUUGAAAUCCUUCACAUGAAGGAAGGCAAAUCUGUGAAUGCACAACGCAUGAGUUAUCAUAUAGAAGAAGAACACACUUUGAAGAUUACUUACGUAACACAAUCUGGAGGAAGGGUUCGAGGUCGUGGCAGAGGAAGAGGACAGGGAUGAGGUAGACAAAGCUUCAAGAGGCCACAGUAGAGUGUUAUCAUUGUCACAAGCUAGGCCAUUUUCAAUGGGAAUGUCCAAGCAAGGAGGAGGCCAACUAUGCAGAAACUGAAGAAGCAAAUGUGUGGUUUCUUGACUUAGGGUGCAACAAUCAUAUGUGUGGGAAGAAGGAAUAUUUCUCAAAAUUUGAUGAAAGUUUUAGAGAAUUAGUGAAGUUGGGUAACAACACAAGCAACAAGCAUGGUCGUAUCAGGUAAGAGUAAUAUACGGCUGCAAGUAAAUGGAAUAGCACAGAUAAUUACAGGGGUAUUCUAUGUUCCAUAACUGAAGAACAAUUUGUUGAGUAUUGGGCAAUUACAAGAAAAAGGGCUUACGAUUCUGUUUCAAAUGAUUCUGGCUUAAUCAUGGAGACCAAGAUGACUUCAAAUCGAAUGCUGGCAUUUGUGGACCGAUCACACCCAUUUCUAACAACAAGAAACGGUAUUUGAUUACUUUCACUGAUGAUUUUAGUAUAAAAACAUUGGUCUAUUUUGUUGUUUUUAAAAAAUUUAAGACUCAUGUUGAGAAAGAAAGAAACUCAUUUAUUAGAGCCUUACGUACUGAUUGAGGAGGAGAGUUUACAUCACAAGAAUUCAAUAUUAUAUAGCCUUUACAGAAUAACCCAAACAAUAUUAAAUACCCAUUAGUAACAGUAUGACUAAUCAAAUCCUAAAACUGAAUUAAAUCUCAUAAUAAUAGGUAUUUAUUGUUGACUGAAUGGUAAAAACCUAACAUCUAUAAUCUUAACAAUUCCUCCCUUAAAAUGAAUGUUAGUAUUCAGUUCAUCUCUUUCUCAUAACAAACUCCUGAUAGUCAUCUUAGCUUCAAGAAAACAUCCAACUUCAACGGUUUAGUCAUCACAUCAGUACAGUGUUCCUUUGUGCCACAAUGUACCAAUUCCACAGAAUUUGUGAGCUCUCGAAGGAAAUGAAACCGCACAUCUAUGUGCUUACUGCGACCAUGCAUAAUUGGGUUCUUUGAGAGUUUGAUUGCAUAACUGCUAUCAUAGUGGAAGAUAAACUUACUAUUGGUCGUUUUUUUAUGACCAUGAAACUACUCCCGAACUCAAUAAGAACACAUAACUUGAAGUACUUUUCCUUUCAUCCAAAUCUUCAGCAUAAUCAUUGUCCGUGUAAGCAAAAAAAUUAUCAUCUCCUCCCUUUCUAUAAAAUAUACCCAACCCAAUUGUUCCCUUCAAAUAUCUCAUGACCCUUUUUGUUGCUUGUAAAUGAAGUUCAGUAGGAUUCUCCAUAUACCUACUAAUAAGACUUACCACAAACAUCAUGUCUGGUCGAGUUGCUGUGAGGUACAUGAUACUACCCACAACUUGUUUAUAGUAAGUCUUGUCCACCUUUACUUCAUCUUCAUCUUUCAUGAGUUUAUAGCUAGGAAUAAUAGGAUUAUGUAGAGUUACUGUUGUUCAUUCCAAACCGUUUUAACACCUCCAAUGCAUACUUCUUCUGACUGAUAAAAACACCAUCAGAUCUUUGCAGGACUUCAAGACCAAGGAAAUACCUCACCUUACCAAGAUCUGCCAUAUCAAACUCAUGUUUCAUGGAAGCUUUAAACUCUGUAAACAUCAACUCAUCAUCAAGACAAGAAAAGAAGGCAAAUUGUUAACCGUAAGUCUUUAUGUUGAUGAUCUUAUUUUUACUAGAAAUAAUGAGUUGAUGUUUACAGAGUUCAAAGCUUCCAUGAAGCAUGAGUUUGAUUCAGUAUAUCUUGGUAAGAUGAGGUAUUUCCUUGGUCUUGAAGUCCUGCAAAGAUCUGAUGGUGUUUUUAUCAGUCAAAAGAAAUAUGCAUUGGAGGUGCUAAAACGGUUUGGAAUGGACAACAGUAACUCAGUUCAUAAUCUUAUUGUUCCUAGCUAUAAACUCAUGAAAAAUGAAGAUGGAGUAAAGGUGGACAAGACUUACUAUAAACAGUUGUGGGUAGUCUCAUGUACCUCACAACAACUCGACAUGACAUGAUGUUUGUGGUAAGUCUUAUUAGUAGGUAUAUGGAGAAUCCUACUGACUUCAUUUACAAGCAGCAAAAAAGGGUCCUGAGAUGUUUGAAGGGAACAACUGGGUUGGGUAUUUUUUUAUAGGAAGGGAGGAGAUGAUAAAUUUGUUGCUUACACUGACAGUGAUUAUGCUAGAGAUUUGGAUGAGAAGAAAAGUACUUCAGGUUAUGUGUUCUUAUUGAGUUCAGGAGCAAUUUCAUGGUCAUAAAAAAAAACAACCAAUAGUAAGUUUAUCUUCCACUGAGGCAUAAUUUAUUGUUACAACUUCAUGUGCAUGUCAAGCAUUAUGGCUAAAAGGAGUGUUAGAAAAGUUGGUUCAGAAUCAAGCCAAUCCAACUAUUAUUUAUUGUGAUAGCAGUUCUGCAAUCAAACUCUCAAAGAACCCAAUUAUGCAUGGUCGCAGUAAGCACAUAGAUGUGCGGUGUCAUUUCCUUUUAGAGCUCACAAAGGCUGUGGAAUUGGUACAUUGUGGCACAAAGGAACAAUUUACAUAUGUGAUGACUAAACCGUUGAAGUUGGAUGUUUUCUUGAAGCUAAGAGGACUAUUAGGAGUUUUUUAUGGGAAAAAGAUAAAUUGAAUACUAGCAUUCAGUUUAAGGGAGGAAUUGUUAAGAUUAUAGAUUUUACCAUUCAAUCAAUAAUAAAUACAUAUUAUUAUGGAAUUUAAUUCAGUUUUAGGAUUUGAUUAGUCAUGGACAGUUUUGUUAUUGUUACUAGUGGGUAAUUAUAAUAUUGUUUAGGUUAUUCUGUAAAUGCUAUAUAAUAGUCAUCUAUAUUCAAUAAAAGUGAGCACUUUUUCUCAUUAUAUUUACUCUUAAAAAACGGUUUCUCUAUUUUUUAACACAUGGGUAAAAUUUGUCUAAACUAAAUUUCUAGUAACUUCUAAAAUUAGAGAUGGAAAUAUUACUGCAACUUAAACCCUAAACCAUAUUUGCAUCAAUUUUGUUCGUGACUGACUAACAUUUGUUAUGUAUACUAGUAGAAUUGAAUUUUCAAAUGUUUAUAUGUUUGCAUUUCAAAUUAUAACAAAAUUGAGAUUAAUAUUUGUUAAUGUAGUAUAUUAACACUACAAGAAAAAUCCAUUUUAGUUGCUAAUAAAAAAUGAGAACUAUAAAAAAGAAGUCAUUAGUAUAGGUGAAGUCUACUCAAGUUGGAAACAAAAAUAAAUGUCAAAUAUUAUGUUCACAAUAGAGACUUUUAACUCACACUAAAAAUUAUUAAAAUAAUAAUAAGAAGUUAAAAUCAUUUUGAGUUUAUUCUAGCAAUUGUUUGAUUGGUCUUAUCAGGCCACUCGCUAUCAGGUCGGAUCACCCAUAAUAUAUAAUCACACUAAAGAUUAGGAUAUUUCAUAGUAUAUAGGUGCAAACCCUCAUUGAUUUUAUGAGAUUAAAGUUAGACUUAAAAUUCACUUCUUAAUAAUUAUUUAAUUUUAUAUCCAUUUUAGUCUCUCCCAAAUCUACGUUAUAGUUAACUAAUAUUUUUUCUUUAUGUAGGUUUAAUCAACACUUUCUAUUGAGAUGUUAAGCCCACACUAAUCUCAUGUAAUGUCUUUCUUUUGUUUUUUAUGUCGUUUUUUUGAGAUUAUACCAUCAUUACUUUUUGUAGUGUAAAUUUUGGUAAACAAGAAUUAAAUAUAAUAAAUACGGUGUACAGUUAAAUGAUAGAAAUAGUUUAUGGUUACCAUAAAGAAUACUAUAUAUAAUAUUAUAUUUAUUAAAGAAUUCACUAAAUAAAGUUAUAUUCUUUUUUAUAUAAUGGUAUAAAUAAUUGUAUUUUUUAUGAGUAAUUAACUAAAAAAUAAAAAACAAUAGAAUAUAUAUAUAUAUAUAUAUAUAUGCGUGUGUGUAAUUUUAUAAAAGUAAUACUAAAAAAAUUAUUUAACCAUUAUUUUAAAAUAUUUUUUUAGUUAUUUUGAAAUAAAAAGCUAUUUACUUAUUUAAACACGUAUUAGAAUGAAUUGAAUUAUAUAUAUAUAUAUAUAACAUUUUUAUUACAUUAAAAUAUAAUAGUGUAUCCUUUUUAUAUAAUGGUAUAAAUAAUUUUAUUAUUUUUAUGAGUAAUUAAUUAAAAAAAGAAAUAACACAAUUUAAAAAAUAUAUAAUUUUAUAAAAGUAGUAUUAAAAAAUUACGUUACUUUUGAAAAGAGAAACUAUUUUGAAAUAAAUUUUUUAAUUCAAUUAUUUAUUUUUUUAACUAAAAAAUAUAUUAUAUUUAUUUGUUAAAGGAUAAAAUUAUCUAAUUAAAAGAUGAUAUCAAUGAAAAAUACUAAACUAUAUAUCAUCUUUAUAUAAUAGUAUAGAUGUUUUAAAUGCAAUAUUAUUAUUUUUAUAGUACAAGAAAUACAACCACAUAAAAUAAAAGAAAAACUAAAUUGAACCUGAAUACAUUAAUCAUUAAAGAAAAUAGUUUUACACUUUUUAACUUAAGAGAAAGUGAAAUAUUAUAAGCCUUUAAACUCCUAAUUUAAUUAUAUAAUGAUUCUCAUAAUUUAUCUAACCUAUUGAAACACAACUUAAGAAAAAAACAAAUGAACUAGUUUCAAAAGUAAGAAAAUAAGAUAAAAGGGUAUUUGAAUAAACAUUUUUAGGGCAUGAAAAUUAGAAAAACGUGAAAUGUUUUUUAUACUGUAUAUUUUGAAAAAAAAGCUAAUAUAAAAGAGUCUUUAUAAGUCAUUUUUAUGUAUAAAUUAUUUUUAACUUUUUUUUUUAUGUUUUUCAAUAAUGAUUUCUUAUUAGUUUUAACUUCAUCCUUCUGCUCUCACAAAAAUGGUGAUAAUAUAAAGCUUGAAAUGUAAAUCUUUUUCUGCAACUAUUCAUAAGACAUGAAGGAAUUUACCAUGUAAGCAGCACUGAGCAAUGAUUUUCAUAUCCUGUGAAGAAAUUACUGUGUGGAAGAGAGUUGAAAGAACGUUGCUGCGGUGCUU
RNAcentral lists this long non-coding RNA (6723 nucleotides) under Phaseolus vulgaris (common bean). RNAcentral's name for it is "long non-coding RNA (PVUL_LNC004497)". Lineage: Eukaryota; Viridiplantae; Streptophyta; Magnoliopsida; Fabales; Fabaceae. The record is from RNAcentral.